This 512-nucleotide unclassified non-coding RNA is filed under the name Hevea brasiliensis (rubber tree). The record is from RNAcentral. Lineage: Eukaryota; Viridiplantae; Streptophyta; Magnoliopsida; Malpighiales; Euphorbiaceae.
GAGAUAACUCCUCAGCAGUAAAUGACAGUGAACCAUCCAGGAAGAAUAAUUCCCCAGCCAAUCGAUCUGGUGAACACACAUCCAAUGUCACCGGUUGUUCAACUGUGUCAAUGAAACGAGGGGAGUGAGCUAUUGGAGAGUCUGGAGAAGAUCUCCGGCCAGAUGUUGCAGGAUUAUUACCCACAGUGCCAAGAUGCGUAGAUGCUGAAACUGCAGUAACUCCCUCCAGAAAGACAUGUUCAACAAUUUCUGUACCAGACUCAAUUUGGCCAGACAGAGAUCUCGAGUUCACUGUGAGCAAGUGAUCAUUAGAGAAACUCAAGAAAGUUGGUGGUGGUUCUGAGGAGCCAUGGAACUUUAAAAUUCCAGGCCGGCUGAACCUCCCGAGUUUAACAUCCCUUCCAGCAGAUUGGCUGUUAAAUCCACUUGGCAAGUGAAAAUUUUGGAACCGUUGUCGAAGGUAAGCCAGGAGAACAACACCAAUCAUUAAAGCAGCUCCAACUGAGGCAAGA